RNAcentral lists this long non-coding RNA (598 nucleotides) under Astyanax mexicanus (Mexican tetra). RNAcentral's name for it is "lncRNA (ENSAMXG00005004114.1)". The record is from RNAcentral. Lineage: Eukaryota; Metazoa; Chordata; Actinopteri; Characiformes; Acestrorhamphidae.
UUAAACGUAUUGCUGUUCUCUCUCUUUGUGUAGAAGAUAUCAACCUGCUGGAUCAGCUGUGGCAGGUGGCCAACAGCAGUAAUGCCACUGUGACUCUGGAGGGUCAGAGAUGUCCAGUGCUGCAUGUAGGGCAGUACUCCACCCUCGCCCUGCCUUUACGCCACCUGUUUGGACACAGCUUUGGGGAUGAGUUCAGUUUGCUGCUGCAGUUGCGCAGUUCUCAGCCUGAUGACCGCAGUCUGCUGACCUUCCUCUGCCCUGACGGACACAUCCUGCUGCAGAUCCGCAUCAGUGCUUUCUCCUUCACCUUCAUCAGCACACAACAGCGCCACUACGAGUUUCCUGUGGGCGUACUGUCUGAUGGAAAUUGGCAUCGGGUGGCAGUGAGUGUGUCUACAGGACGGUUGGCUGUGUACGUGGACUGUGCCAUGGUGGAGAGCGUAGACUGGGUCUACCAGGAUGGCCUGGGCAUCGCCACCGAUGGACUCGUCAUGUUGGGAGGAAUCAUUGAGGAAUUUGAGACACCAUUUGAGGUAAAAGCUCUGUCUCUCUAGGCUUGGUUUAAUCCAAAUUACUGUAUUUUUGCACUAUAAUGCGC